AUGGCCCUGAAUCAAGGUCGGCAGUUUUUUGAAGCUGUUGGUUUCAAGUAGGAGCCUAAUAUGGUAGCUUUCUAUGGUUCACACUGGCUAUUUCAGAACUCUAGAAAUGUAAUGGUCAAUUCAUUAGAAAGAAACAACU
This is a small nucleolar RNA of Cavia porcellus (domestic guinea pig), 139 nucleotides long. The record is from Ensembl. Lineage: Eukaryota; Metazoa; Chordata; Mammalia; Rodentia; Caviidae.